RNAcentral lists this ribosomal RNA (1347 nucleotides) under Staphylococcus aureus. RNAcentral describes it as "partial 23S ribosomal RNA". It matches the Rfam family "Bacterial large subunit ribosomal RNA", at positions 212 to 1559 of the family's 2925-position model. Lineage: Bacteria; Bacillati; Bacillota; Bacilli; Caryophanales; Staphylococcaceae. The record is from RNAcentral.
GGAGGAAGAGAAAGAAAAUUCGAUUCCCUUAGUAGCGGCGAGCGAAACGGGAAGAGCCCAAACCAACAAGCUUGCUUGUUGGGGUUGUAGGACACUCUAUACGGAGUUACAAAGGACGACAUUAGACGAAUCAUCUGGAAAGAUGAAUCAAAGAAGGUAAUAAUCCUGUAGUCGAAAAUGUUGUCUCUCUUGAGUGGAUCCUGAGUACGACGGAGCACGUGAAAUUCCGUCGGAAUCUGGGAGGACCAUCUCCUAAGGCUAAAUACUCUCUAGUGACCGAUAGUGAACCAGUACCGUGAGGGAAAGGUGAAAAGCACCCCGGAAGGGGAGUGAAAUAGAACCUGAAACCGUGUGCUUACAAGUAGUCAGAGCCCGUUAAUGGGUGAUGGCGUGCCUUUUGUAGAAUGAACCGGCGAGUUACGAUUUGAUGCAAGGUUAAGCAGUAAAUGUGGAGCCGUAGCGAAAGCGAGUCUGAAUAGGGCGUUUAGUAUUUGGUCGUAGACCCGAAACCAGGUGAUCUACCCUUGGUCAGGUUGAAGUUCAGGUAACACUGAAUGGAGGACCGAACCGACUUACGUUGAAAAGUGAGCGGAUGAACUGAGGGUAGCGGAGAAAUUCCAAUCGAACCUGGAGAUAGCUGGUUCUCUCCGAAAUAGCUUUAGGGCUAGCCUCAAGUGAUGAUUAUUGGAGGUAGAGCACUGUUUGGACGAGGGGCCCCUCUCGGGUUACCGAAUUCAGACAAACUCCGAAUGCCAAUUAAUUUAACUUGGGAGUCAGAACAUGGGUGAUAAGGUCCGUGUUCGAAAGGGAAACAGCCCAGACCACCAGCUAAGGUCCCAAAAUAUAUGUUAAGUGGAAAAGGAUGUGGCGUUGCCCAGACAACUAGGAUGUUGGCUUAGAAGCAGCCAUCAUUUAAAGAGUGCGUAAUAGCUCACUAGUCGAGUGACACUGCGCCGAAAAUGUACCGGGGCUAAACAUAUUACCGAAGCUGUGGAUUGUCCUUUGGACAAUGGUAGGAGAGCGUUCUAAGGGCGUUGAAGCAUGAUCGUAAGGACAUGUGGAGCGCUUAGAAGUGAGAAUGCCGGUGUGAGUAGCGAAAGACGGGUGAGAAUCCCGUCCACCGAUUGACUAAGGUUUCCAGAGGAAGGCUCGUCCGCUCUGGGUUAGUCGGGUCCUAAGCUGAGGCCGACAGGCGUAGGCGAUGGAUAACAGGUUGAUAUUCCUGUACCACCUAUAAUCGUUUUAAUCGAUGGGGGGACGCAGUAGGAUAGGCGAAGCGUGCGAUUGGAUUGCACGUCUAAGCAGUAAGGCUGAGUAUUAGGCAAAUCCGGUACUCGUUAAGGCUGA